UCUAAGAGCAACCCCAUU
This 18-nucleotide non-coding RNA is filed under the name Arabidopsis thaliana (thale cress). Lineage: Eukaryota; Viridiplantae; Streptophyta; Magnoliopsida; Brassicales; Brassicaceae. The record is from RNAcentral.